AUUGAACGCUGGCGGCAGGCCUAACACAUGCAAGUCGAGCGGAUGAAGGGAGCUUGCUCCUGGAUUCAGCGGCGGACGGGUGAGUAAUGCCUAGGAAUCUGCCUGGUAGUGGGGGAUAAUGUCCGGAAACGGGCGCUAAUACCGCAUACGUCCUGAGGGAGAAAGUGGGGGAUCUUCGGACCUCACGCUAUCAGAUGAGCCUAGGUCGGAUUAGCUAGUUGGUGGGGUAAAGGCCUACCAAGGCGACGAUCCGUAACUGGUCUGAGAGGAUGAUCAGUCACACUGGAACUGAGACACGGUCCAGACUCCUACGGGAGGCAGCAGUGGGGAAUAUUGGACAAUGGGCGCAAGCCUGAUCCAGCCAUGCCGCGUGUGUGAAGAAGGUCUUCGGAUUGUAAAGCACUUUAAGUUGGGAGGAAGGGCAGUAAGUUAAUACCUUGCUGUUUUGACGUUACCAACAGAAUAAGCACCGGCUAACUUCGUG
This 484-nucleotide ribosomal RNA is filed under the name uncultured bacterium. RNAcentral describes it as "partial 16S ribosomal RNA". It matches the Rfam family "Bacterial small subunit ribosomal RNA", at positions 30 to 507 of the family's 1533-position model. The record is from RNAcentral.